Loxodonta africana (African savanna elephant) is the source of this 71-nucleotide transfer RNA. It matches the Rfam family "tRNA". Rfam says of the family: Transfer RNA (tRNA) molecules are approximately 80 nucleotides in length. NCBI's taxonomy places the organism in Eukaryota, Metazoa, Chordata, Mammalia, Proboscidea, Elephantidae. The record is from Rfam.
UCAUUGGUGGUUCAGUGGGAGAGUUCUUGCCUUCCAUGCAGGAGACCCGGGUUUGAUUCCUGGCCAAUGCA